GGAAAGGUGUUCAGGUGCGGAAGUUUAGAGAUAGCUGAAGGAAAUACAAAAAAAGGCAUCCACGGAGGUCAUCUACGGACCGUAAGUCCAUUCACGGUCCGUAGGUGAUGACCGUAGAUCAGCAGGAAUGUGUUGAGGAUAAAUCAGGGAAAUCUGACCAAGUGUGGAACCACGGUGACCAUUGACGGUCCGUAUAUUGAUCUACGGACCGUACUGUUGAUCCGUAGAGUGAGACUGCGAGGGUUCCAGUACCUGAUUUUUGAAGAUGCUAAGUAUGGAGCUACGGAAGGGAUUGACGGACCGUAGGUCGAUCUACGGUCCGUN
RNAcentral lists this long non-coding RNA (324 nucleotides) under Solanum tuberosum (potato). RNAcentral describes it as "long non-coding RNA (STUB_LNC009644)". The record is from RNAcentral. Lineage: Eukaryota; Viridiplantae; Streptophyta; Magnoliopsida; Solanales; Solanaceae.